GGAGAGGUGUCCGAGUGGUUUAAGGAGGCGGUCUUGAAAACCGUUGUGCCCUCGCGGGUACCGUGGGUUCGAAUCCCACUCUCUCCG
RNAcentral lists this transfer RNA (87 nucleotides) under Alkalispirochaeta americana. RNAcentral describes it as "Spirochaeta americana tRNA". It matches the Rfam family "tRNA". Rfam says of the family: Transfer RNA (tRNA) molecules are approximately 80 nucleotides in length. Their secondary structure includes four short double-helical elements and three loops (D, anti-codon, and T loops). Further hydrogen bonds mediate the characteristic L-shaped molecular structure. tRNAs have two regions of fundamental functional importance: the anti-codon, which is responsible for specific mRNA codon recognition, and the 3' end, to which the tRNAs corresponding amino acid is attached (by aminoacyl-tRNA synthetases). tRNAs cope with the degeneracy of the genetic code in two manners: having more than one tRNA (with a specific anti-codon) for a particular amino acid; and 'wobble' base-pairing, i.e. permitting non-standard base-pairing at the 3rd anti-codon position. The record is from Rfam by way of RNAcentral. Lineage: Bacteria; Pseudomonadati; Spirochaetota; Spirochaetia; Spirochaetales; Spirochaetaceae. RNAcentral also lists the same sequence under 1 other name.